This is a small nucleolar RNA of Osmerus eperlanus (European smelt), 132 nucleotides long. RefSeq annotates it as small nucleolar RNA SNORA31. Lineage: Eukaryota; Metazoa; Chordata; Actinopteri; Osmeriformes; Osmeridae. The transcript has a single exon. The record is from RefSeq and is a predicted model, not a curated record.
CAGCAUCCACUGAUAGACCUGAAGCUGCAAUCACCAUAGCUUCUGUGUUUGCACUCGGAUGCCAAAUCAACCUUCCUUAUACUUUCUCUUGACUGCCUUGUGGCAGUCUGGAUAGAUGAAAGGAGAACACCA